Molecule: ribosomal RNA, 1094 nt
Filed under: Georgenia sp.
Lineage: Bacteria; Bacillati; Actinomycetota; Actinomycetes; Allobogoriellales; Allobogoriellaceae
Description: bacterial SSU rRNA
Rfam family: Bacterial small subunit ribosomal RNA
Source: RNAcentral
GCGCGUGCUUUACCUGCAGUCGACGAUGAUGCCAGCUUGCUGGUGGAUUAGUGGCGAACGGGUGAGUAACACGUGAGCAACCUGCCCCUGACUUCGGGAUAACCGCGGGAAACCGUGGCUAAUACCGGAUAUGACGUGCCCUCGCAUGGGGGUGUGUGGAAAGACUGUGUCGGUUGGGGAUGGGCUCGCGGCCUAUCAGCUUGUUGGUGGGGUGAUGGCCUACCAAGGCGACGACGGGUAGCCGGCCUGAGAGGGUGACCGGCCACACUGGGACUGAGACACGGCCCAGACUCCUACGGGAGGCAGCAGUGGGGAAUAUUGCACAAUGGGCGCAAGCCUGAUGCAGCGACGCCGCGUGAGGGAUGACGGCCUUCGGGUUGUAAACCUCUUUCAGUAGGGAAGAAGCUCUUCGGGGUGACGGUACCUGCAGAAGAAGCGCCGGCUAACUACGUGCCAGCAGCCGCGGUAAUACGUAGGGCGCAAGCGUUGUCCGGAAUUAUUGGGCGUAAAGAGCUCGUAGGCGGUUUGUCGCGUCUGCUGUGAAAACGCGAGGCUUAACCUCGCGCCUGCAGUGGGUACGGGCAGACUAGAGUGCGGUAGGGGAGACUGGAAUUCCUGGUGUAGCGGUGGAAUGCGCAGAUAUCAGGAGGAACACCGGUGGCGAAGGCGGGUCUCUGGGCCGUUACUGACGCUGAGGAGCGAAAGCAUGGGGAGCGAACAGGAUUAGAUACCCUGGUAGUCCAUGCCGUAAACGUUGGGCACUAGGUGUGGGGCCCAUUCCACGGGUUCCGUGCCGCAGCUAACGCAUUAAGUGCCCCGCCUGGGGAGUACGGCCGCAAGGCUAAAACUCAAAGGAAUUGACGGGGGCCCGCACAAGCGGCGGAGCAUGCGGAUUAAUUCGAUGCAACGCGAAGAACCUUACCAAGGCUUGACUUACACCGGAAACAUCCAGAAAUGGGUGCCCCGCAAGGUCGGUGUACAGGUGGUGCAUGGUUGUCGUCAGCUCGUGUCGUGAGAUGUUGGGUUAGUCCCGCACCGAGCGCACCCUUGUCCUGGGUUGCAACCGGUUAUGCCCGGGAACCAUGGGAAAUUGC